UUCAGCUCAAAUUUAGCCCGUCUGGUUCAUGAACCAAGUUCAACAAGCAAAUUAUUGAGUCGAGUUCCGAACCAUAUUCGAUUUGGUUCGCUUCAUUGCUAACCUUAUUUCCAAUAUUAAGAGAGAGAAGGACAAUUUAAAUAAUUUUAUUUUUUGCCUUAUUUCAUUUGAUUAUGAUCAUCUUAGUGUACACAUCUAUAAUUACAAGGUAUGUGGAAAUAUUAAAAGAAAAAAAAUUCAAAUUAUCGGGUGCCAAGGCAAUAACUAAAUUAUCAAUCAUGGAAUUUUGUAGCAGAAUUUUAUGGGAACAUUGCUCAUAUACAUGCACAAAAGCCCUCUUUUUUGGAAAAGAAUAAAAAUUUUGGUUUUAAACACUUUGGUUCGAAAGGAUACUCACACAACUCAUUUGGGCAACCAUUGGCAUUUUUACAGUUAACACGAUCUAUUGUAAUGUAUGGUUUCAAAGGAAACUCACACAACUUGUUUUGGCAACCAUAGCCUUCUUUACAUUUAACACGACCUUUGUAAUGAAAAAAGAGAGUAAAUGAAUGUUAGUUGAAUGUGAUAAAAUAUCAUCUAGAAAGUAUUUAAGGAAAUUCUAGAAGGAAAAAUAUGACUUACCUUCAACGUUCAUUACAACAAGAAAUAGAAAAAUAAAGAUAAUUAUAACACAAUCAUACUUCACAUUUUCAACCAUAUUUUUC
This 704-nucleotide long non-coding RNA is filed under the name Medicago truncatula (barrel medic). Its description in RNAcentral is "lncRNA gene16300". Lineage: Eukaryota; Viridiplantae; Streptophyta; Magnoliopsida; Fabales; Fabaceae. The record is from RNAcentral.